GUCGUGGGUAUGUGUUCUCUCUUACAGAUUAACCGGUGCAUUCGACUGGUUGCUGACAUCCUCAAUACAUCAUUUCUGAGCACGAUGGUUUCUGCUGUCCCAGUUGGAACAUUUGGAAGUAUCCAGUACAAUCUACUGGGCUCCCCACAUGUGACCGAUAGGUACUUUGAAAUACCUUAUCAAGCUUCAUUUCAAGCAUUCCUGCCUGGAGCUCCCUCCAGCUCUCUGCCCUUCAGUGUCACUCCACUGCCCAGUACCAACUUCCAGCUAGCCCUAAGCAAGGACUUCAUCAGCAAUGGUAUAGCUGUUCUGACUGGUGCUGCCAGUGUCAACGUCACAAACCAAGGAGGGAACCAGCUAAUGACUUUGAACCUGGCAGGUCUGAUUCCUGAGCUUUCUGAGCUCUUCCGAACUUCUAAGCCACUUGUGGUAAAAAUUAAGGGUGUGAACUCCCCACUGGUUUCUUUUGAGAAGCAGAGCCCCAAGGUGCAGCAAACUCUGUCCAUUAAGAUCUUA
RNAcentral lists this long non-coding RNA (516 nucleotides) under Crocodylus porosus (Australian saltwater crocodile). RNAcentral describes it as "lncRNA (ENSCPRG00005012726.1)". Lineage: Eukaryota; Metazoa; Chordata; Crocodylia; Crocodylidae. The record is from RNAcentral.